GUUAUUUAAUAUUAUAAAUAGAUUUUGACUAUAUUUGAUUACGGAUCAAAGAGAAUAUUAAUAUGU
This 66-nucleotide transfer RNA is filed under the name Thelazia callipaeda (thelaziosis nematode). RNAcentral describes it as "tRNA-Arg". The record is from RNAcentral. Lineage: Eukaryota; Metazoa; Nematoda; Chromadorea; Rhabditida; Thelaziidae.